CCAGACUCCUACGGGAGGCAGCAGUGGGGGAUAUUGCACAAUGGGGGAAACCCUGAUGCAGCGACGCCGCGUGGGUGAAGAAGCGCCUCGGCGCGUAAAGCCCUGUCAGCAGGGAAGAAAAUGACGGUACCUGAAGAAGAAGCCCCGGCUAACUACGUGCCAGCAGCCGCGGUAAUACGUAGGGGGCAAGCGUUAUCCGGAUUUACUGGGUGUAAAGGGAGCGUAGACGGUUGUGCAAGUCAGAAGUGAAAGCCCGGGGCUCAACUCCGGGACUGCUUUUGAAACUGUGAAACUGGAGUGCAGGAGAGGUAAGCGGAAUUCCUGGUGUAGCGGUGAAAUGCGUAGAUAUCAGGAGGAACACCAGUGGCGAAGGCGGCUUACUGGACUGUAACUGACGUUGAGGCUCGAAAGCGUGGGGAGCAAACAGGAUUAGAUACCCCUGUA
RNAcentral lists this ribosomal RNA (444 nucleotides) under uncultured bacterium. Its description in RNAcentral is "bacterial SSU rRNA". It matches the Rfam family "Bacterial small subunit ribosomal RNA", at positions 331 to 792 of the family's 1533-position model. The record is from RNAcentral.